CCUACGGGAGGCUGCAGUGAGGAAUAUUGGUCAAUGGACGAGAGUCUGAACCAGCCAAGUAGCGUGAAGGAUGACUGCCCUAUGGGUUGUAAACUUCUUUUAUAAAGGAAUAAAACGAGGCACGUGUGCCUUUUUGCAUGUACUUUAUGAAUAAGGAUCGGCUAACUCCGUGCCAGCAGCCGCGGUAAUACGGAGGAUCCGAGCGUUAUCCGGAUUUAGUGGGUUUAAGGGGAGCGUAGAUGGGUUGUUAAGUCAGUUGUGAAAGUUUGCGGCUCAACCGUAAAAUUGCAAUUGAUACUGGCAGUCUUGAGUACAGUUGAGGUAGGCGGAAUUCGUGGUGUAGCGGUGAAAUGCUUAGAUAUCACGAAGAACCCCGAUUGCGAAGGCAGCUUACUAAACUGUGACUGACAUUGAUGCUCGAAAGUGUGGGUAUCAAACAGGAUUAGAUACCCUAGUAGUC
This 460-nucleotide ribosomal RNA is filed under the name uncultured bacterium. Its description in RNAcentral is "partial 16S ribosomal RNA". It matches the Rfam family "Bacterial small subunit ribosomal RNA", at positions 338 to 795 of the family's 1533-position model. The record is from RNAcentral.